AAUGCCCCUUGAGGCGUUGCAGCUCAGCUGUGUGUUGACGCUGCGUCAUGAGGGGGCAGAGAGCAUCAGGCGGGGGUCUGCACCGACGCUCUACAACUCGGAGGAGUCGACUCGACUCGUCGCCUACACU
Molecule: small nucleolar RNA, 130 nt
Organism: Nematolebias whitei (Rio pearlfish)
Lineage: Eukaryota; Metazoa; Chordata; Actinopteri; Cyprinodontiformes; Rivulidae
Product: small nucleolar RNA SNORA17
Exons: 1
Source: RefSeq, a predicted model, not a curated record